GACGGUGAGAUUCAGGGAGGAGCUCAGACGUUACUGAACUAUAGAAGAGAUGAACUUCUACAUUCAACAGAGUUCAAAAUACGAAGCAUCAACAUCACCUUCCUUCAACAUGCUGUCAUCACUGAUGUUUCUAGUUAUUCUACAAGGAUUCAGCUGUGAAGAACUCACACCAGUGAAGACAGAAGAAAACAGUGUAGAAAACACGACUGUUACUAUGUCCUACAAUUACUCCAGUCAGGCAGCUGGUAGUGAUUCUUUCUUCUGGUAUCGACAAUAUCCAGGAAAACCACCAGAGUUCCUCAUCUCCCAUCUCGGAACAGGAGGAAUAUUGAAGAGUCAAAUGACUGAACUGAUGAUCAAAGUGGAU
Gasterosteus aculeatus aculeatus (three-spined stickleback) is the source of this 367-nucleotide non-coding RNA. NCBI's taxonomy places the organism in Eukaryota, Metazoa, Chordata, Actinopteri, Perciformes, Gasterosteidae. The record is from RefSeq and is a predicted model, not a curated record.